ACUCCUACGGGAGGCAGCAGUGGGGAAUAUUGCACAAUGGGCGCAAGCCUGAUGCAGCAACGCCGCGUGAGGGAUGAAGGCCUUCGGGUUGUAAACCUCUUUUAGCAGGGAAGAAGCGAAAGUGACGGUACCUGCAGAAGAAGCACCGGCUAACUCCGUGCCAGCAGCCGCGGUAAUACGGAGGGUGCAAGCGUUAAUCGGAAUUACUGGGCGUAAAGCGUGCGCAGGCGGUCUGUUAAGCGAGAUGUGAAAGCCCCGGGCUCAACCUGGGAACUGCAUUUCGAACUGGCAGACUAGAGUCUUGUAGAGGGGGUAGAAUUCCAGGUGUAGCGGUGAAAGUGCGUAGAGAUCUGAAGGAAUACCGGUGGCGAAGGCGGCCCCCUGGACAGAUACUGACACUCAGAUGCGAAGCCGU
This 415-nucleotide ribosomal RNA is filed under the name uncultured bacterium. RNAcentral describes it as "bacterial SSU rRNA". It matches the Rfam family "Bacterial small subunit ribosomal RNA", at positions 335 to 762 of the family's 1533-position model. The record is from RNAcentral.